This 737-nucleotide long non-coding RNA is filed under the name Lathyrus oleraceus (garden pea). RNAcentral's name for it is "Pisum sativum (pea) long non-coding RNA (PSAT_LNC011984)". Lineage: Eukaryota; Viridiplantae; Streptophyta; Magnoliopsida; Fabales; Fabaceae. The record is from RNAcentral.
GUUUCCAUGAAGACUAAGCAACUGUUAUGCUGUUAACAGAAUUGGGUCAAAUGUAACAGGGUUAAAGGUUCAACGUCAUUUCUGAUUCUGAGAAAACCAUGUAUGAUGAAGGCUUGUUUUCCUAUAAACCCCACCCCAACUUACAGGUAGGUUCUAGUAUUGGAUAGAAAAUAGAGAUUCCUAAUGGUCACCAAAGUCAUGAGUCCUCUAUGAAUAACAACUUAUCUUAUGCACGAAGGGUGCAUGACAAAAGCAUUCUUAAGAAAACCUCGUCUAGAUGUGGUAUCUCAUGCCUUCUCAUACGUGUCAAGGGCCAUGAGAGUCGACAUGAGUAUCCACUAUAAUCCUAUGUGUACACUAGCAUGGGCAACGGGCCUUUUACCUUAAUGUAGCACCCACCCUCCAACGAAACAACAACACAUCAUUGAAACUACGCGAAUUAUACCCGAGCGCAUCACACGCUCAAAGAUACAACAGAGUUGCCAUCGAACUUUAUUUAUUCCCGAAGGAAAGGGAAAACAUCGAUAAAACUCGGUGGAAAGAGAAAUAGGUAAGGAAGUCGAUUAUGCAAGAGUAAUGUAUUAGCACUCGUAACAUCCAUGGUACUCCAUGGGAACCGUUUUGAAUGUUCUCUACAAAAAUAUGUGUUAUUAUCUGAAGAUUACUCGCGAAAAGGGAAAUGGGGAUUAAUAAAGAAGUGAGAAAAAGGUGAGAAAUAGAUAAUUGUGCUCGCCAAG